Molecule: ribosomal RNA, 377 nt
Filed under: uncultured Enterococcus sp.
Lineage: Bacteria; Bacillati; Bacillota; Bacilli; Lactobacillales; Enterococcaceae
Description: bacterial SSU rRNA
Rfam family: Bacterial small subunit ribosomal RNA
Source: RNAcentral
AUACGUAGGUGGCAAGCGUUGUCCGGAUUUAUUGGGCGUAAAGCGAGCGCAGGCGGUUCUUUAAGUCUGAUGUGAAAGCCCCCGGCUCAACCGGGGAGGGUCAUUGGAAACUGGAGGACUUGAGUGCAGAAGAGGAGAGUGGAAUUCCAUGUGUAGCGGUGAAAUGCGUAGAUAUAUGGAGGAACACCAGUGGCGAAGGCGGCUCUCUGGUCUGUAACUGACGCUGAGGCUCGAAAGCGUGGGGAGCAAACAGGAUUAGAUACCCUGGUAGUCCACGCCGUAAACGAUGAGUGCUAAGUGUUGGAGGGUUUCCGCCCUUCAGUGCUGCAGCUAACGCAUUAAGCACUCCGCCUGGGGAGUACGACCGCAAGGUUGAA